This 497-nucleotide ribosomal RNA is filed under the name uncultured bacterium. RNAcentral's name for it is "partial 16S ribosomal RNA". It matches the Rfam family "Bacterial small subunit ribosomal RNA", at positions 28 to 507 of the family's 1533-position model. The record is from RNAcentral.
GAUGAACGCUGGCGGCGUGCCUAAUACAUGCAAGUCGAGCGAACAGAUGAGGAGCUUGCUCCUCUGACGUUAGCGGCGGACGGGUGAGUAACACGUGGAUAACCUACCUAUAAGACUGGGAUAACUUCGGGAAACCGGAGCUAAUACCGGAUAAUAUAUUGAACCGCAUGGUUCAAUAGUGAAAGACGGUUUUGCUGUCACUUAUAGAUGGAUCCGCGCCGCAUUAGCUAGUUGGUAAGGUAACGGCUUACCAAGGCAACGAUGCGUAGCCGACCUGAGAUGGUGAUCGGCCACACUGGAACUGAGACACGGUCCAGACUCCUACGGGAGGCAGCAGUAGGGAAUCUUCCGCAAUGGGCGAAAGCCUGACGGAGCAACGCCGCGUGAGUGAUGAAGGUCUUCGGAUCGUAAAACUCUGUUAUUAGGGAAGAACAAAUGUGUAAGUAACUAUGCACGUCUUGACGGUACCUAAUCAGAAAGCCACGGCUAACUACGUG